GAUGAACGCUGGCGGCGUGCCUAAUACAUGCAAGUCGAGCGAACGGACGAGAAGCUUGCUUCUCUGAUGUUAGCGGCGGACGGGUGAGUAACACGUGGAUAACCUACCUAUAAGACUGGGAUAACUUCGGGAAACCGGAGCUAAUGCCGGAUAAUAUUUUGAACCGCAUGGUUCAAAAGUGAAAGACGGUCUUGCUGUCACUUAUAGAUGGAUCCGCGCUGCAUUAGCUAGUUGGUAAGGUAACGGCUUACCAAAGCAACGAUGCAUAGCCGACCUGAGAGGGUGACCGGCCACACUGGAACUGAGACACGGUCCAGACUCCUACGGGAGGCAGCAGUAGGGAAUCUUCCGCAAUGGGCGAAAGCCUGACGGAGCAACGCCGCUUGAUUGAUGAAGGUCUUCGGAUCUUAAAACUCUGUUAUUAGGGAAGAACAUAUGUGUAAGUAACUGUGCACAUCUUGACGGUACCUAAUCAGAAAGCCACGGCUAACUACGUG
RNAcentral lists this ribosomal RNA (497 nucleotides) under uncultured bacterium. Its description in RNAcentral is "partial 16S ribosomal RNA". It matches the Rfam family "Bacterial small subunit ribosomal RNA", at positions 28 to 507 of the family's 1533-position model. The record is from RNAcentral.